This 828-nucleotide ribosomal RNA is filed under the name Bacillus sp. AU29. RNAcentral describes it as "bacterial SSU rRNA". It matches the Rfam family "Bacterial small subunit ribosomal RNA", at positions 56 to 864 of the family's 1533-position model. The record is from RNAcentral. Lineage: Bacteria; Bacillati; Bacillota; Bacilli; Caryophanales; Bacillaceae.
UGCAAGUCGAGCGGAGAAAUGGGAGCUUGCUCCUAUUUCUCAGCGGCGGACGGGUGAGUAACACGUGGGCAACCUGCCCUGCAGACUGGGAUAACUCCGGGAAACCGGAGCUAAUACCGGGUAAUACAUAGCAUCGCAUGAUGCAACGUUGAAAGUUGGCUUUCGAGCUAACACUGUAGGAUGGGCCCGCGGCGCAUUAGCUAGUUGGUAAGGUAAUGGCUUACCAAGGCAACGAUGCGUAGCCGACCUGAGAGGGUGAUCGGCCACACUGGGACUGAGACACGGCCCAGACUCCUACGGGAGGCAGCAGUAGGGAAUCUUCCGCAAUGGACGAAAGUCUGACGGAGCAACGCCGCGUGAGUGACGAAGGCCUUCGGGUCGUAAAGCUCUGUUGUUAGGGAAGAACAAGUACCGUUCGAAUAGGGCGGUACCUUGACGGUACCUAACCAGAAAGCCACGGCUAACUACGUGCCAGCAGCCGCGGUAAUACGUAGGUGGCAAGCGUUGUCCGGAAUUAUUGGGCGUAAAGCGCGCGCAGGCGGUCUCUUAAGUCUGAUGUGAAAGCCCCACGGCUCACCGUGGAGGGCCAUUGGAAACUGGGGGACUUGAGUGCAGAAGAGGAGAGUGGAAUUCCACGUGUAGCGGUGAAAUGCGUAGAUAUGUGGAGGAACACCAGUGGCGAAGGCGGCUCUCUGGUCUGUAACUGACGCUGAGGCGCGAAAGCGUGGGGAGCGAACAGGAUUAGAUACCCUGGUAGUCCACGCCGUAUACGAUGAGUGCUAGGUGUUGGGGGGUUUCCCCCUCAGUGCUGAAGUUCACCACAUUACG